Molecule: long non-coding RNA, 201 nt
Filed under: Gossypium raimondii (Peruvian cotton)
Lineage: Eukaryota; Viridiplantae; Streptophyta; Magnoliopsida; Malvales; Malvaceae
Description: long non-coding RNA (GRAI_LNC010360)
Source: RNAcentral
AAUAAGAGAAAAAAAGAAGAUGAAUUAUAAAUAUUUUGAAAUUGGAAUUCGAAUAAGAGAAAAGGGAAGAAAGAAUUUUCAAGGAUGGCAGAACUUUUUUUUUUUUUACUUAAGCUUAAAGUUUUGAGUCUGUUAUCUGCGUAAUUUUUAAUUAUUUCUGAUAUUUUUUUAUCUUGAAUUAUGCUAUUUAUAUUAUUAACU